RNAcentral lists this ribosomal RNA (1100 nucleotides) under Microbacterium sp. IK2_65. Its description in RNAcentral is "bacterial SSU rRNA". It matches the Rfam family "Bacterial small subunit ribosomal RNA", at positions 28 to 1139 of the family's 1533-position model. The record is from RNAcentral. Lineage: Bacteria; Bacillati; Actinomycetota; Actinomycetes; Micrococcales; Microbacteriaceae.
GAUGAACGCUGGCGGCGUGCUUAACACAUGCAAGUCGAACGGUGAAGCCAAGCUUGCUUGGUGGAUCAGUGGCGAACGGGUGAGUAACACGUGAGCAACCUGCCCUGGACUCUGGGAUAAGCGCUGGAAACGGCGUCUAAUACUGGAUAUGAGCCCCUAUCGCAUGGUGGGGGUUGGAAAGAUUUUUUGGUCUGGGAUGGGCUCGCGGCCUAUCAGCUUGUUGGUGAGGUAAUGGCUCACCAAGGCGUCGACGGGUAGCCGGCCUGAGAGGGUGACCGGCCACACUGGGACUGAGACACGGCCCAGACUCCUACGGGAGGCAGCAGUGGGGAAUAUUGCACAAUGGGCGAAAGCCUGAUGCAGCAACCGCCGCGUGAGGGAUGACGGCCUUCGGGUUGUAAACCUCUUUUAGCAGGGAAGAAGCGAAAGUGACGGUACCUGCAGAAAAAGCGCCGGCUAACUACGUGCCAGCAGCCGCGGUAAUACGUAGGGCGCAAGCGUUAUCCGGAAUUAUUGGGCGUAAAGAGCUCGUAGGCGGUUUGUCGCGUCUGCUGUGAAAUCCCGAGGCUCAACCUCGGGCCUGCAGUGGGUACGGGCAGACUAGAGUGCGGUAGGGGAGAUUGGAAUUCCUGGUGUAGCGGUGGAAUGCGCAGAUAUCAGGAGGAACACCGAUGGCGAAGGCAGAUCUCUGGGCCGUAACUGACGCUGAGGAGCGAAAGGGUGGGGAGCAAACAGGCUUAGAUACCCUGGUAGUCCACCCCGUAAACGUUGGGAACUAGUUGUGGGGACCAUUCCACGGUUUCCGUGACGCAGCUAACGCAUUAAGUUCCCCGCCUGGGGAGUACGGCCGCAAGGCUAAAACUCAAAGGAAUUGACGGGGACCCGCACAAGCGGCGGAGCAUGCGGAUUAAUUCGAUGCAACGCGAAGAACCUUACCAAGGCUUGACAUAUACNAGAACGGGCCAGAAAUGGUCAACUCUUUGGACACUCGUAAACAGGUGGUGCAUGGUUGUCGUCAGCUCGUGUCGUGAGAUGUUGGGUUAAGUCCCGCAACGAGCGCAACCCUCGUUCUAUGUUGCCAGCACGUAAUGGUGGGAACU